RNAcentral lists this long non-coding RNA (6614 nucleotides) under Medicago truncatula (barrel medic). RNAcentral describes it as "long non-coding RNA (MTRU_LNC006116)". Lineage: Eukaryota; Viridiplantae; Streptophyta; Magnoliopsida; Fabales; Fabaceae. The record is from RNAcentral.
AAUGGAUUGUUCGUGUGUCGCCCUGUCAUCAAAAGAAAUCCCUGCUUCUUUAGAAGUUGAAAUAGUUUUGUUCCUUCUGCGUAGCUGCUUCCAAAUGCUGUCCGAGAAAUUACAUCACAGGUAAAAUUCUGAAGGGAAGGCCAAACAUCAAUCUCACAUGUUCCAUCUGAUGACAAUAAUCCCUUCCAUUUGCUUAUCAUUUCAUUGCAACUGUGAGAAAAUGCAGGCAGCAUAACCUAUAGUUUGAAGUAAAUCAUAUUAUAAGAAUAAAAAUUAGAAAUUUAAUUUACAAAAUUGCAAGAAUUAAUUAAAGCAAUAACCUUACUUUCAAUUUUUCUAGGUGGAAUGCUGGAUUGGCGAUCUUCCUAUGUUUAGCCCAUUUCUUACCCUCAUGAUCUAGUAUACCAACGUUCAAAUACUUGGCGAUGGAUCUUAGUUUUGGUUUGGGGAAGUCAUCAAUCUUGUUAAAGACAUCCUUAAUUUGAUCAGGGUCUGUGAUGAUAACCCUUGGUAUUGUACCUUCCCAUAAAAAGGAAUUCUUUCCUGCAUAUCCUUUAUGUUAGAACAACAAACCCAACUCUAAAGCAAACAGAUAAAUUAAAGCAUAGGAAUACAAUGCUUGAUUACAAAGUUCUACCAAUUGUGUCUACGUCUCUGAGAGCAAUGUGGCAGUUGUAAUUUUCUAUUGUGCAAUGCUUAAGAUUUACAUAGUACAAGAUGUGUUUAAAUACUUCCCUGCGCUCGUUGCACUUUCAGCUCUUCUGGCUCUGUUAUGCUAGAGCCUCUUCCUACUUAUCAGUGCAUAUAAUUCAUACUUAACACUUCACUUAUCAGUAACUUAUGGAGGACUUGAUAUCAAUUUGUGAUUUAAUAUUAACAUCAAUCAAGUCCGUAUCAUGUUUGGUCCUUGCAUCUGAUAAUAUAAACACAAACUCCUCCAGAACUCCGUUCUUUUCUUUUCAGUUACACAGGCAUAUUAACUAUGGCAUCAAAAAAUCAAAUCUCUAGACAUUUCUGAUUUUCUUGUUAAUAUCAGAUAUUCAAACAAAGUUUUAAAAAGUGUCUGUGACUGUGAUUUGAGUUGCAAUAUCAAAAUUUUGGAUAUUUCUUUGACCACAAUGGAGGCCACAUCAACUACACAUCACCACAAUAUCAAUGAUAGCACAUUGAUUGAGUUAUAAAUGGUGGACAACUUGUUAAGCUAGCUUCUGCACUGAGCUAGGACAACUCCCAAAUUCGAAGUCUAUCCUAAGGGCCGACUUUCUCCACUCCAAGUUUCUAAAAAUCCACAAAUAUUUUUGGAAAUGUACUUCCGGAAAACAUAUUUUGUCCGGCUUUCGAACAAACACAAAAUUCAUGCCUUUUUCCUACUGUAUACGUCUAGGGGUUGUGAAUAGUUCCUUCCUUAUCAUGAAUCUGUUGUCGGGGGUAGGGCUUUUUUUAAAUGACAGAUGUUAGGAUGUUGAUUGUUAGGUUAGUAUGUUCUCCUCAAACCUGACUUUAACUCCUCUUAGCUCAACCAAGUGAGCUACCCAUCCCUCCAAAGGGAGGUAGGGCUUGUUUUUCUUUUAUAAAUUAUACGCAAGCUAUAAAAUAUUGGCUUAAAUGUAUUUUUUACCCUUUAACUUUUAGAUUGGUGUAUAAACAAAAUAGAAAGUAAGAUUAGUAUAUGUACCAUAUUUGUGUACAGUUUGAUGAAUAGGAGUGAAGAUAGACGGUGCAGCUUCUUUGGAGAGACCAAUGGAUUUAGAUUUAUCUUCUUGUUGCAACUUCAACAUAUAAUUUUGUCUUGAUUUAUCCUUAAAUACUGAAAGGUUAUAUGGUUCACCUUGAAAACCUUGAGCUUUGAGAAGUUUCUCAAACCUCUUUGGCUUAAGCCAUAACUUGUUGAGAAGAUACCAUGGAAUCACAGCAAGUAGAACUGACAGAACAGAGAUGAUUAUUGUUGUUCCUGUGGGAAACACAAACACCUCCAUUUUAUGUUUUUGUCUUGGAAUUGGAUUGUGUCUUGUUGUGUUGUGUAAAAAGGUCAUUAAAGAGAUAUCUAAGGUGGUGGGGUCAUUCAAGUUCAACAGGGACACGUACACGUCUUUUCCAUUUUCCAUGUUGAAAAAAUAAGAGAGAGAAAAGAAAGGCUGAUGCCUGAUUGUCUCAAUUUAGUGUCUUAAUUAUAAUUUAUAUUAAUUUGGUCUCCUAUAUUUUUUACUAGUUUUAGUCCUUUAUGGUAGUUUCUCUAUAAAAAAAACGUUAACUUAUGUAUUAAAUUGAUCCCCGUUUUGCUUCGUUUUUAAUUUUAGUCCUUUCUGUUCACUUUUUUUUUGAGAGAAACUAAUGGAAAGUAUUAAAACCAGUAACGGAGCAAAUCAUAGAGGACCAAAUUAAUACAAAUUAUAGUUAGGGGAUCAAAUUGAGAGUGAUUUAACAAGCAAAAAAAACUUACCACUCUAAUAGUAAUAUAUCUAUUAAAAAAAGUGUUCGAUGUAUCUAGUUUACAAUAUUAUUUAUUAAAUAAAUUUACAAAGUUUGUACAUAGAAAAUAGGGUUAAUUAUAGAAAUUGAAUAUAUGUUAAGUUUAAAAAUGAUCUUGUAAAAUAAAAAGUAUAUAUUUUAAUAUUGUAAUUUGAGAUUCUUAUUAUUUUUGACUUUGUAAUAUAGUUGAAGUCCAAAAAAUUAUUUAGAGAUUGAAUUUUUUCAUGAUUUUUUUCACGUAUGUUUGGGACGUUAAAAUAUGACUUUACACAAAAAAAAUAAAAAAUUUCAACCGUGGAUGAAUCAAUUAUGAAUUUUUAAAGCGCCAAAAACUCAAAAAACAGAACAACGAAAACUUCAAUCUAGAAAUUGAAUUUUGAGUUGAUUGUUUGCAGAGACAUAUGCAGAUAUACAUAAAAAAGAUCUACAAAGUUUGGUACCAUUUUAAAGACGUUUCAAUUUAUUUUUAUUUUCAACCAAAACGUGUGAAAUAACAAUUUUGUUCCGGGUAAACGUAUACUCAUAGAUCAGGUUCAGUUCUCUAAUUUUGUAGGCAUGGUUAAAAUUUCAUAAGAACAUUCACCAUUAAAAUUAAAUUUUGGAGUUUUUAAACGAGAUACGAAUUAAUUAUGAAUUGUUUAAGAAAUUUUAUAGUUAUGGGAAAUAAAAAUUUGUCCCUAGUCUGAAAAAAUAUAUAUUUUUUUUUUUUGGUGUAAAAUCAUGUUUUAACAUCCUAAAGAUGCUUUUGAUUUGUUCAAAAAAAACAUCCUAAAGAUGCAUGGAAAAAAAAUCAUUAAAAAAUUCAAUCUCUACACCAUUUUUUCGGACCAUGCCUAUAUUAUAGGGUCAAAAAUAAGAAGUAUCUCAAAUUACAAGUUUGGAAUAUGUAUUUUUUUAUUUUACAAUGUCAUUUUUCAGACAUCGCAUAUUUCACAGAGUCAAAAUUAAAUAAUUAACCAAAAAUAAUAAUAUAAAAAGUAAACUUUCUUUUAUAAUACAUAUCGAAGAGACAUGUGUCUAAAUACCACAUGUGCCCGCGGCAAGAUAGUGGGUAUACACCGUUGCGGGUAAGGUUCCCUCGGUUAUUUGAGUUGGCGGUGGAGAAGGAGACUAAGGUCGAGGAGAUGAGGAGGAGGGGGUGGGACGUUAAUGGCAGGGCGUGGGUGUGGAGACGUCGUUUGUUUGUUUCGAAGGAGGAGAGUGUGAGGGAGUGUGCAACUCUUUUAUGCAACAUUGUUUUGCAGGACACUGUUCAAGACUCUAGGAGGUGGUUACUAGAUCCGGUUCAAGGGUAUUCGGUGAAAGCAUCAUAUCGUUUUAUUACAGAAACAGGCGCUACUGCGGACAGGUCUUAGGUUGAUGUUGUUUGGCCAAAGCAUGUACCGUCAAAGGUGUCUUUAUUGAUGUGGCGUCUUCUCCGCAACCGGCUUCCUACUAAAGAUAAUUUGGUUCAACGGGGUAUUCUUAUUCCAAGAGAUGGCAUGUGUGUGGGUGGUUGUAAUGUUAUAGAAUCAGCUACUCACCUUUUUUUAGCAUUGUAAUACUUUUAGUGCCUUGUGGUCUAAUGUGAGGACUUGGUUGGGAAUUUAUUCGAUGUUUCCUAGUGAGCUUCGACAACAUUUUAUUCAGUUUACCAGGAUGUCUUGCUUGCCAAGGUCGGUACAUUUAUUCUUAACAGUUAUUUGGUUUGCUACUAUUUGGGUGACUUGGAAGGAACAAAAUUAUCGUAUGUUUCAAAACACAACAGCUACUUCAUCGAUCAUUCUUGAAAAAGUCAAGUUGGAUUCUUUUUUAUGGUUGAAAUCUAAACAGGUAGCAUCUUGUGCGAUUUGAAAACACCUUUUAAUGGGCAAUUUGACAUUGUAAUUUUGUAACUUUGGUGGUGUGUCUCUUUUGCGCAUCUUUGUGCGAUUGAAAACACCUUUAAGUAUAUAUAUAUAUCAUUUUGAUUUGUUAAAAAAAUAUAUAAUGGAUAGUUUGUUUUGAAUUUUUUUAAAGAAAAAAAUUUAUUUUAUAAACAAAAAACGACUUUUAUGAUUUGUAGUGUUUUUUUUUUUAAGAUAUUUCAUUUUGUUUUUUGCUAUGAACUUGAAGAAAUUAUAAAUAGUCAUUCAAAUUCAAGCAUUAUCACAUACACUUUAAAGGUCUUUAAAUGUUAUAAUGUGGCUUAGGUUAAGACAGAAUAUAUUUAAAAAAGUAGCCUAACAAAAGAUGUGGAUUUAGAUACAAGCUACAAAUCUUCAAGAACGAAAAAGUACUACCAAAAUUUUAUUUCUUGGUUUUCCUUUUUUUCUUUUUUUUGUGUUGACCAAUUUUUGAUAGUUUAGUCUGCAAUUAUUUUUUUCUUUUUUCAUUUUUUUUAUUAGGAAAAUAUUUAUUCCACUAUUCUUGAUAUGUCCGUCUGCAUAUGAUAAGAUAUUUAUUCCACUUUGAUCCUUGACAAAAUCCAAAUCAUUGCAGCAAGAUCAGCAGCUAUCUAUUAUGAUCUCAAAUAACACCUCAUCCAGGAAAAAAAGUGACAACCAACAAGCAUCAACAUCAAAAAAAAUUGACAACCUCGUCCAGGAAAAAAAAUCAUAUUGGAGCAAUAUUAAUUCAUAAACAACCCAACCUUCAUAUUGGAGCAAAAUUUGUCCAAAUUCAUAAACUCAUACCUGUGGUUUCUUAUACAAAUCAAUAUGUCUUAAUUUAAAGAAACUCAUGUUUACAGAUAAAUCACCUAAAAGAGUAAAGCUACUGAAUAACUCCAUUGGAUGUGCUCUUACAGUUUAUGCAAAAUGAUGCUUGCACCAUUUUUUGGCGUCAAAGUAAGCACAGUGGUGGGAACAUGCACAUAAUUUGGAGAAAGUUCGAAUGAGAAAUUCUGCAGCAGCAAUGAAAUUGCUAUCUUUGCUUCUAGUAAGGCAAAGUUUUGUCCAAGACAAAUUCUAGGACCCCAUCCAAAAGGGAAAUAAGAAACUUUUCCUUUUGUAGCCUUUGCAAUUCCUUCAGCAAACCUUUCAGGUUUGAACUCCUUUGCAUCAUCACCCCAUAGAUCAUGAUCUUGGUGAAUCAAUAGUAUUGGUAGGGAAAUUUGUGUUCCUUCAGGUAGCGAAACGUUUCCAAGUUUCAAAUCCUUUCGAAGAGCUCGGUUGAAGUAAAUUAAAGGUGGGAAUAACCUUAGUACCUCAUACAAAAUCAUGGUAACCUAUAAAAACAAAAACAAUUAUUAGAUAGUACCAAAAAGGAUUAAGUAUUAAUAAUCAUCAAAAUGAAAUUUGAACAAUACAUACAAUUUUAAGUUGAUUUAAUCCUUCGAUGUUUGGAUUUUGGUUCCCAAAAACUUGCAAAACUUCCUGCCUUGCACGUGCUUGCCAUUCAGGAUACCUGCCUAAUAACACCAUUGUCCAAACCAGCAAACUUGAGGUGGUCUCUUGCCCAGCAAUGUAAAACAAUUUGCAUUCAUCUAUCACAUCUUGGGUGGUCAUCCCAUUACUCUUACUAUUUCCAUGUCCUUGUUUUUCGGCAUGAUUUGAUUGCAAAAGAAUGCCUAAUAAAUCGUCAUUGGUGGGUUCACCAUUCUUCAGUGCUUUUUCUCGCUUUUCAAUGAUUCCCUCAAGUGAAUCAUGGAUUUCUCUAUCAAUUUCUUUCAUCUUCGUCUUGGUAGUUGUUGCUAGAAGCCUAGAAAACACAUUUAUCUAGUGAUGUUAAAUGUGAAGGAACACACUUGGUUCAUAAAUGCAACACAAUUCAUUUCAUUAGGUACUAUGGAUUAAGUCUAACUCAACCGUACAUAUUAGUCGUGUAAAAUGAGUGGUUCCCUUGUUUAUAAACUUUUUUCAGACUUUUUUUUUAAGUGGGGCUUGGGAUUUUGUAAAGUGUUUAAAGUUUUCAAUUUGUCAAAUGUACCAAAAUAAUAUAUUGUAGUCAUACCCCCAUAAUGGAUUGUUCGUUUGUCGCCCUGUCAUCAAAAGAAAUCCCUGCUUCUUUAGAAGUUGAAAUAGUUUUUCUCCUUCUGCGUAGCUGCUUCCAAAUGCCGUCCGAGAAAUUACAUCACAGGUAAAAUUCUGAAGGAAAGGCCAAACAUCAACCUCACAUGUUCCAUCUGAUGACAAUAGUUCCUUCCAUUUACUAAUCAUUUCAUUGCAACUGUAAGAAAAUGCAGG